Molecule: long non-coding RNA, 399 nt
Filed under: Marmota monax (woodchuck)
Lineage: Eukaryota; Metazoa; Chordata; Mammalia; Rodentia; Sciuridae
Source: RNAcentral
GUGAAGUGUCAAAAUGAUCAUUAAUGGAUGACCUAAUUUUACACUAAGAUAAUCUAAAAAACAUAAAGUAAGAUGUUGGAAUAAAGUGAUUAAAUACAUUAAAACAAGCAUGUAAAAUGACAAGGAGGAAAAUGAUGCAGGCUUGGCCCCACCAUGAUGACAAGCUCAGAAGAAGGACAUGGUCAGCCAGUGACCAGGGGUGGCCUGCCAUAGAGGCUCCCUGACAGCUCUCUGGGAUUUAGGGAGAAUCUCUAAGCAGUUCAGUUCUUUCCUUUGAUUACCCCUCCUCAGCCUACUUAAGGACACUCUGCAGACAGACUUAUUUGUUAGACAAUCAGUUUACCUAGAAAACAAGCAAACCAGAUUCUAUCUCCCUGAAUAUCUUCAGUUUUUUUCUCU